GGGGAUUUAGCUCAGUGGUAAAGCAUUUGCCUAGGAAGCACAAGGCCCUGGGUUCGGUCCCCAGCUCCG
This is a non-coding RNA of Rattus norvegicus (Norway rat), 69 nucleotides long. Lineage: Eukaryota; Metazoa; Chordata; Mammalia; Rodentia; Muridae. The record is from Rfam.